AGUGAACGCUGGCGGUAGGCCUAACACAUGCAAGUCGAACGGCAGCACAGUAAGAGUUUGCUCUUACGGGUGGCGAGUGGCGGACGGGUGAGGAAUACAUCGGAAUCUACUUUUUCGUGGGGGAUAACGUAGGGAAACUUACGCUAAUACCGCAUACGACCUACGGGUGAAAGCAGGGGAUCUUCGGACCUUGCGCGAUUGAAUGAGCCGAUGUCGGAUUAGCUAGUUGGCGGGGUAAAGGCCCACCAAGGCGACGAUCCGUAGCUGGUCUGAGAGGAUGAUCAGCCACACUGGAACUGAGACACGGUCCAGACUCCUACGGGAGGCAGCAGUGGGGAAUAUUGGACAAUGGGCGCAAGCCUGAUCCAGCCAUACCGCAUGGGUGAAGAAGGCCUUCGGGUUGUAAAGCCCUUUUGUUGGGAAAGAAAAGCAGCAGGUUAAUACCCCGCUGUUCUGACGGUACCCAAAGAAUAAGCACCGGCUAACUUCGUG
This 492-nucleotide ribosomal RNA is filed under the name uncultured bacterium. Its description in RNAcentral is "partial 16S ribosomal RNA". It matches the Rfam family "Bacterial small subunit ribosomal RNA", at positions 29 to 507 of the family's 1533-position model. The record is from RNAcentral.